GGGCGCUUAGCUCAGUUGGUAGAGCGACUGCCUUACACGCAGAAUGUCGGCGGUUCGAUCACGUCAGCGCCCACCA
Molecule: transfer RNA, 76 nt
Filed under: Acinetobacter baumannii
Lineage: Bacteria; Pseudomonadati; Pseudomonadota; Gammaproteobacteria; Moraxellales; Moraxellaceae
Description: tRNA-Val
Rfam family: tRNA
About the family: Transfer RNA (tRNA) molecules are approximately 80 nucleotides in length. Their secondary structure includes four short double-helical elements and three loops (D, anti-codon, and T loops). Further hydrogen bonds mediate the characteristic L-shaped molecular structure. tRNAs have two regions of fundamental functional importance: the anti-codon, which is responsible for specific mRNA codon recognition, and the 3' end, to which the tRNAs corresponding amino acid is attached (by aminoacyl-tRNA synthetases). tRNAs cope with the degeneracy of the genetic code in two manners: having more than one tRNA (with a specific anti-codon) for a particular amino acid; and 'wobble' base-pairing, i.e. permitting non-standard base-pairing at the 3rd anti-codon position.
Source: RNAcentral